This 453-nucleotide ribosomal RNA is filed under the name uncultured bacterium. RNAcentral describes it as "bacterial SSU rRNA". It matches the Rfam family "Bacterial small subunit ribosomal RNA", at positions 340 to 786 of the family's 1533-position model. The record is from RNAcentral.
UACGGGAGGCAGCAGUGGGGAAUAUUGCACAAUGGGCGCAAGCCUGAUGCAGCCAUGCCGCGUGUAUGAAGAAGGCCUUCGGGUUGUAAAGUACUUUCAGUCGUGAGGAAGGUGUUAAGGUUAAUAACCUUAGCAAUUGACGUUAGCGACAGAAGAAGCACCGGCUAACUCCGUGCCAGCAGCCGCGGUAAUACGGAGGGUGCGAGCGUUAAUCGGAAUUACUGGGCGUAAAGGGCACGCAGGCGGUUAAUUAAGUUGGAUGUGUAAUCCCCGGGCUUAACCUGGGAAUGGCAUUCAAGACUGGUUAGCUAGAGUCUUGUAGAGGGGGUAGAAUUCCAUGUGUAGCGGUGAAAUGCGUAGAGAUGUGGAGGAAUACCGGUGGCGAAGGCGGCCCCUGGACAAAGGCUGACGCUCAUGUGCGAAAGCGUGGGGAGCAAACAGGGAUUAGAUACC